AGUAAAAUAAGCUAAAUAAAGCUAUUGGGUUCAUACCCCAAACAUGAGUAUUCCUCUUUUACUA
Molecule: transfer RNA, 64 nt
Filed under: Alaysia spiralis
Lineage: Eukaryota; Metazoa; Annelida; Polychaeta; Sabellida; Siboglinidae
Description: tRNA-Met
Source: RNAcentral